Molecule: ribosomal RNA, 468 nt
Filed under: uncultured bacterium
Lineage: Bacteria
Description: partial 16S ribosomal RNA
Rfam family: Bacterial small subunit ribosomal RNA
Source: RNAcentral
GACGAACGCUGGCGGCGUGCUUAACACAUGCAAGUCGAACGGAAAGGCCCUGCUUUUGUGGGGUGCUCGAGUGGCGAACGGGUGAGUAACACGUGAGUAACCUGCCCUUGACUUUGGGAUAACUUCAGGAAACUGGGGCUAAUACCGGAUAGGAGCUCCUGCUGCAUGGUGGGGGUUGGAAAGUUUCGGCGGUUGGGGAUGGACUCGCGGCUUAUCAGCUUGUUGGUGGGGUAGUGGCUUACCAAGGCUUUUACGGGUAGCCGGCCUGAGAGGGUGACCGGCCACAUUGGGACUGAGAUACGGCCCAGACUCCUACGGGAGGCAGCAGUGGGGAAUAUUGCACAAUGGGCGGAAGCCUGAUGCAGCAACGCCGCGUGCGGGAUGACGGCCUUCGGGUUGUAAACCGCUUUCGCCUGUGACGAAGCGUGAGUGACGGUAAUGGGUAAAGAAGCACCGGCUAACUACGCG